UUUUUUUUUUCCCCAUUAUACACUAUCUCCAUUAGAAAGUCAUAAAUGGCUUGGCCUUCUUUUACCAGCAUCUGUCCUCAAUCUCUUUACAGGAUUUGCCCAACCAACACUGCCGCCACCGCCACCGCCAUUAUUUGAUGGUUGAGGUUGGUUGGCCCACCCUUGCUGAUGGGAAUUCUGCUGACCCAUUCUCAAUUCCUUAGGGACUGAACCUGGAACUAGACUCAUUAUAUUACGACCCAUGCUAGGGGGAGAA
Molecule: unclassified non-coding RNA, 256 nt
Filed under: Hevea brasiliensis (rubber tree)
Lineage: Eukaryota; Viridiplantae; Streptophyta; Magnoliopsida; Malpighiales; Euphorbiaceae
Source: RNAcentral